GACGAACGCUGGCGGCGUGCUUAACACAUGCAAGUCGAACGGAAAGGCCCUGCUUUUGUGGGGUGCUCGAGUGGCGAACGGGUGAGUAACACGUGAGAAACCUGCCCUUGACUUUGGGAUAACUUCAGGAAACUGGGGCUAAUACCGGAUAGGAGCUCCUGCUGCAUGGUGGGGGUUGGAAAGUUUCGGCGGUUGGGGAUGGACUCGCGGCUUAUCAGCUUGUUGGUGGGGUAGUGGCUUACCAAGGCUUUGACGGGUAGCCGGCCUGAGAGGGUGACCGGCCACAUUGGGACUGAGAUACGGCCCAGACUCCUACGGGAGGCAGCAGUGGGGAAUAUUGCACAAUGGGCGGAAGCCUGAUGCAGCAACGCCGCGUGCGGGAUGACGGCCUUCGGGUUGUAAACCGCUUUCGCCUGUGACGAAGCGUGAGUGACAGUAAUGGGUAAAGAAGCACCGGCUAACUACGUG
Molecule: ribosomal RNA, 468 nt
Filed under: uncultured bacterium
Lineage: Bacteria
Description: partial 16S ribosomal RNA
Rfam family: Bacterial small subunit ribosomal RNA
Source: RNAcentral